Molecule: ribosomal RNA, 468 nt
Filed under: uncultured bacterium
Lineage: Bacteria
Description: partial 16S ribosomal RNA
Rfam family: Bacterial small subunit ribosomal RNA
Source: RNAcentral
GACGAACGCUGGCGGCGUGCUUAACACAUGCAAGUCGAACGGAAAGGCCCUGCUUUUGUGGGGUGCUCGAGUGGCGAACGGGUGAGUAACACGUGAGUAACCUGCCCUUGACUUUGGGAUAACUUCAGGAAACUGGGGCUAAUACCGGAUAGGAGCUCCUGCUGCAUGGUGGGGGUUGGAAAGUUUCGGCGGUUGGGGAUGGACUCGCGGGUUAUCAGCUUGUUGGUUGGGUAGUGGCUUACCAAGGCUUUGACGGGUCGGCGGCCUGAGAGGGUGACCGGCCACAUUGGGACUGAGAUACGGCCCAGACUCCUACGGGAGGCAGCAGUGGGGAAUAUUGCACAAUGGGCGGAAGCCUGUUGCAGCAACGCCGCGUGCGGGAUGACGGCCUUCGGGUUGUAAACCGCUUUCGCCUGUGACGAAGCGUGAGUGACGGUAAUGGGUAAAGAAGCACCGGCUAACUACGUG